Molecule: small nuclear RNA, 107 nt
Filed under: Sus scrofa (pig)
Lineage: Eukaryota; Metazoa; Chordata; Mammalia; Artiodactyla; Suidae
Source: RNAcentral
AUGGCUUUUUAAAUAUCACAUGUACUAAAAUUGGAACGAUACAGAGAAGAUUAGCAUGGCCCCUGUGCAAGGAUGACACGCAAAUUCGUGAAGCAUUCCAUAUUUUU